Molecule: long non-coding RNA, 454 nt
Organism: Papaver somniferum (opium poppy)
Lineage: Eukaryota; Viridiplantae; Streptophyta; Magnoliopsida; Ranunculales; Papaveraceae
Exons: 3
Source: RefSeq, a predicted model, not a curated record
ACGUCUUUUACGGACCUAAGAAAGACUUAAAAGAAGCUGUUGACACUCGAAGAAAGUCAAGGUCCGGUGUAUCUAGAGGCCAACAAGUUGAUAACCGAGUUAAAGAUGCCGAUGCCACCUGAUCAGUCAACCCUAUUGUAUUGGAACCUUCGAGAAUUCGAACAGCUGGUAAACUAUCAUUGUCAUACUGGUUUGCUUGGGGUAUAUUCAGCUUCGCUGAUAAUUCCCGUAUUGUUACUGAUUGAUAUCUUAAUAAACGCUAAAAGCCCACCAACAGAUGGAGGUCAUUGCUGCUCACGUACCAAGCAGAGCAUUCUAGAUAUUUGAUGAGGUAUGAGGAUGCCAUUGUGGGGGAGAAUACAGAAAGAGGCUGGAAGGAUCAAUUCUUUGGUCGGAGUUCGUGCAGUGUUUGGAUUUGGAAUGAUUGGGUCUGCAGAAUGAUUUUUUUUUCUAA